This 76-nucleotide transfer RNA is filed under the name Candidatus Omnitrophota bacterium. RNAcentral describes it as "Candidatus Omnitrophica bacterium (sediment metagenome) tRNA-Phe". It matches the Rfam family "tRNA". Rfam says of the family: Transfer RNA (tRNA) molecules are approximately 80 nucleotides in length. Their secondary structure includes four short double-helical elements and three loops (D, anti-codon, and T loops). Further hydrogen bonds mediate the characteristic L-shaped molecular structure. tRNAs have two regions of fundamental functional importance: the anti-codon, which is responsible for specific mRNA codon recognition, and the 3' end, to which the tRNAs corresponding amino acid is attached (by aminoacyl-tRNA synthetases). tRNAs cope with the degeneracy of the genetic code in two manners: having more than one tRNA (with a specific anti-codon) for a particular amino acid; and 'wobble' base-pairing, i.e. permitting non-standard base-pairing at the 3rd anti-codon position. The record is from RNAcentral. Lineage: Bacteria; Pseudomonadati; Candidatus Omnitrophota.
GCCGAGAUAGCUCAGUUGGUAGAGCGAAGGCCUGAAAAGCCUUGCGUCCCCAGUUCAAUUCUGGGUCUCGGCACCA